UACGUAGGAGGCGAGCGUUGUCCGGAAUCACUGGGCGUAAAGGGCGCGUAGGCGGCUCAUGAAGGCUGUGGUGAAAGUCCGGGGCUCAACCUCGGAUCGGCCGUGGCGACUCGUGGGCUGGAGCACUGUAGAGGCGGGUGGAAUUCCGGGUGUAGCGGUGGAAUGCGUAGAGAUCCGGAAGAACACCAGUGGCGAAGGCGGCCCGCUGGGCAGUGGCUGACGCUGAGGCGCGACAGCGUGGGGAGCAAACAGG
This 253-nucleotide ribosomal RNA is filed under the name uncultured bacterium. Its description in RNAcentral is "partial 16S ribosomal RNA". It matches the Rfam family "Bacterial small subunit ribosomal RNA", at positions 524 to 776 of the family's 1533-position model. The record is from RNAcentral.